This 559-nucleotide ribosomal RNA is filed under the name Fulvia fulva. Its description in RNAcentral is "LSU rRNA". It matches the Rfam family "Eukaryotic large subunit ribosomal RNA", at positions 65 to 650 of the family's 3401-position model. The record is from RNAcentral. Lineage: Eukaryota; Fungi; Ascomycota; Dothideomycetes; Mycosphaerellales; Mycosphaerellaceae.
CCAACAGGGAUUGCCCUAGUAACGGCGAGUGAAGCGGCAACAGCUCAAAUUUGAAAUCUGGCGCAAGCCCGAGUUGUAAUUUGUAGAGGAUGCUUCUGGCCAGCGGCCGUUCUAAGUUCCUUGGAACAGGACGUCAUAGAGGGUGAGAAUCCCGUAUGUGACCGGUGCGCAGCCUUUACGUAGCUCCUUCGACGAGUCGAGUUGUUUGGGAAUGCAGCUCUAAAUGGGAGGUAAAUUUCUUCUAAAGCUAAAUACCGGCCAGAGACCGAUAGCGCACAAGUAGAGUGAUCGAAAGAUGAAAAGCACUUUGGAAAGAGAGUUAAAAAGCACGUGAAAUUGUUGAAAGGGAAGCGCUUGCAACCAGACUUCGUAGCGAUGUUCCGCUGGUCUUCUGACCGGUCUACUCAUCGUCGCGAGGCCAACAUCGUCUGGGACCGCUGGAUAAGACCUAAGGAAUGUAGCUUCCCUCGGGAAGUGUUAUAGCCUGUGGUGAUGCAGCGCGUCUCGGGCGAGGUCCGCGCUUCGGCAAGGAUGUUGGCGUAAUGGUUGCCAGCGGCCC